UGGGGAAUAUUGCACAAUGGGCGCAAGCCUGAUGCAGCCAUGCCGCGGGUAUGAAGAAGGCCUUCGGGUUGUAAAGUACUUUCAGCGGGGAGGAAGGGAGUAAAGUUAAUACCUUUGCUCAUUGACGUUACCCGCAGAAGAAGCACCGGCUAACUCCGUGCCAGCAGCCGCGGUAAUACGGAGGGUGCAAGCGUUAAUCGGCAUUACUGGGCGUAAAGCGCCCGCAGGCGGUUUGUUAAGUCAGAUGUGAAAUCCCCGGGCUCAACCUGGGAACUGAAUCUGAUACUAGCAAGCUUGCGUCUCGUAGAGGGGGGUAGAAUUCCAGGUGUGGCGGUGAAAUGCGUAGAGAUCUGGAGGAAUACCGGUGGCGAAGGCGGCCCCCUGGACAAAGACUGACGCUCAGGUGCGAAAGCGUGGGGAGCAAACAGG
Molecule: ribosomal RNA, 429 nt
Filed under: Chloroflexota bacterium
Lineage: Bacteria; Bacillati; Chloroflexota
Description: Chloroflexi bacterium partial 16S ribosomal RNA
Rfam family: Bacterial small subunit ribosomal RNA
Source: RNAcentral